RNAcentral lists this long non-coding RNA (457 nucleotides) under Phascolarctos cinereus (koala). RNAcentral's name for it is "lncRNA (ENSPCIG00000003949.2)". The record is from RNAcentral. Lineage: Eukaryota; Metazoa; Chordata; Mammalia; Diprotodontia; Phascolarctidae.
GGAACGUAAUGGAGCACAUACUGAGUAUGAGCCACUAACUAGUCAAAGACCUGUGAAUUCUAGGAACAGGAGAUUUCCCCAUUAAAUCCCUCACUUCCUCAAGUAAAUGGUAUCAGAAGGAAUGAGCAAACCAAGUACUUCAUGGGAGCUCAAAAAAAGUCCUUUUCUAAGUGACAAAAAGAGUUCUCUACAAUUCAAGAGAACAGAUUCACAAACAUCUCUGGAAGACUUGUUCACACUCUCUUUGCCAGUACCUGAAUCUUGGGAGGAAGAUGAAGACAAGAAUCAUGAGGAAGUGGACAGAUUCUGUCUCCCCUGUAUAACAUUAUUGAUCUUAAUUUUAUCAUUUAUCAUUUUUGUUAUUAUUCUUAUGAUGAUGUAUUUAUAUUAAACAUGAUACUAUGCAUCACACACCUGACCAUCACCCCACCUCCCACAAUCAUUAGCUGGGUGGCAA